RNAcentral lists this transfer RNA (67 nucleotides) under Candidatus Izimoplasma sp. ZiA1. RNAcentral describes it as "Candidatus Izimaplasma sp. ZiA1 tRNA-Ser". Lineage: Bacteria; Bacillati; Mycoplasmatota; Mollicutes; Candidatus Izemoplasmatales; Candidatus Izemoplasmataceae. The record is from RNAcentral.
GGUUUAGUUAUGGUUGAAUGAACUUCUAAGCCAUCGGUCGGGGGUUCGAAUCCCUCCUGGAACGCCA